CCCUUAGAUGUUCUGGGCUGCACGCGCGCUACAAUGACUCACUCAGAAAGUUUUUCCUGAUCCGGAAGGAUUCGGGUAAUCUUCAUAGCAUGAGUCGUGUUAGGGAUCGAUCUUUGCAAUUAUAGAUCUUGAACGAGGAAUGCCUAGUAAGUGCAGCUCAUCAGGCUGUACUGAUUACGUCCCUGCCCUUUGUACACACCGCCCGUCGCUCCUACCGAUUGAGUGGUCCGGUGAACCUUCUGGAUUAAGCAGCAAUGCUUGAGAAGUUAGGUAAACCUUAUCACUUAGAGGAAGGAGAAGUCGUAACA
RNAcentral lists this ribosomal RNA (308 nucleotides) under uncultured eukaryote. Its description in RNAcentral is "partial 18S ribosomal RNA". It matches the Rfam family "Eukaryotic small subunit ribosomal RNA", at positions 1470 to 1796 of the family's 1831-position model. The record is from RNAcentral.